This 391-nucleotide ribosomal RNA is filed under the name uncultured Gammaproteobacteria bacterium. RNAcentral describes it as "bacterial SSU rRNA". It matches the Rfam family "Bacterial small subunit ribosomal RNA", at positions 114 to 507 of the family's 1533-position model. Lineage: Bacteria; Pseudomonadati; Pseudomonadota; Gammaproteobacteria. The record is from RNAcentral.
UGCAUAGGAAUCUGCCCGAUAGUGGGGGAUAACCUGGGGAAACCCAGGCUAAUACCGCAUACGUCCUACGGGAGAAAGGGGGCUCCGGCUCCCGCUAUUGGAUGAGCCUAUGUCGGAUUAGCUAGUUGGUGAGGUAAAGGCUCACCAAGGCGACGAUCCGUAGCUGGUCUGAGAGGAUGAUCAGCCACAUCGGGACUGAGACACGGCCCGAACUCCUACGGGAGGCAGCCGUGGGGAAUAUUGGACAAUGGGCGAAAGCCUGAUCCAGCCAUGCCGCGUGUGUGAAGAAGGCCCUCGGGUUGUAAAGCACUUUCAGCGAGGAAGAACGCCUAGUGGUUAAUACCCAUUAGGAAAGACAUCACUCGCAGAAGAAGCACCGGCUAACUCCGUG